Non-coding RNA from Leucoagaricus sp. SymC.cos, 120 nucleotides. The record is from Rfam. NCBI's taxonomy places the organism in Eukaryota, Fungi, Basidiomycota, Agaricomycetes, Agaricales, Agaricaceae.
GGCGAGAUGGCCGAGUGGUCUAAGGCGCCAGACUAAGGACCAGGGUGUUUAGAUACCCGCCUCCUCCUCUUCUGAGGAAUCUGGUCUUUCGGGGCGUGGGUUCGAAUCCCACUCUCGUCA